AUAUUAGGUUGGUGCAAAAGUAAUUGCGGUUUUUGCCAUUUUUUUCUUUUUUUUUUAAAGUAAUGGUAAAAACCACAAUUACUUUCGUAACAACCU
RNAcentral lists this microRNA precursor (96 nucleotides) under Chlorocebus sabaeus (green monkey). Its description in RNAcentral is "miRNA (ENSCSAG00000022680.1)". The record is from RNAcentral. Lineage: Eukaryota; Metazoa; Chordata; Mammalia; Primates; Cercopithecidae.